This 69-nucleotide transfer RNA is filed under the name Cercopithecus albogularis (Sykes' monkey). RNAcentral's name for it is "tRNA-Asp". The record is from RNAcentral. Lineage: Eukaryota; Metazoa; Chordata; Mammalia; Primates; Cercopithecidae.
AAGAUAUUAGAAAAAACCAUUUCAUGGCUUUGUCAAAGCCAAGUUAUAGGCUAGACCCUUUAUAUCUUA